Molecule: ribosomal RNA, 481 nt
Filed under: uncultured bacterium
Lineage: Bacteria
Description: partial 16S ribosomal RNA
Rfam family: Bacterial small subunit ribosomal RNA
Source: RNAcentral
GAUGAACGCUGGCGGCGUGCUUAACACAUGCAAGUCGAACGAAGCACUUUAUUUGAUUUCCUUCGGGACUGAUUAUUUUGUAACUGAGUGGCGGACGGGUGAGUAACGCGUGGGUAACCUGCCUUGUACAGGGGGAUAACAGUUGGAAACGGCUGCUAAUACCGCAUAAGCGCACGGCAUCGCAUGAUGCAGUGUGAAAAACUCCGGUGGUAUAAGAUGGACCCGCGUUGGAUUAGCUAGUUGGUGAGGUAACGGCCCACCAAGGCGACGAUCCAUAGCCGACCUGAGAGGGUGACCGGCCACAUUGGGACUGAGACACGGCCCAAACUCCUACGGGAGGCAGCAGUGGAGAAUAUUGCAAAAUGGGCGAAAGCCAGAUGCAGCGACGCCGCGUGAGCGAAGAAGUAUUUCGGUAUGUAAAGCUCUAUCAGCAGGGAAGAUAAUGACGGUACCUGACUAAGAAGCACCGGCUAAAUACGUG